This 845-nucleotide small RNA is filed under the name Pan troglodytes (chimpanzee). Its description in RNAcentral is "retained intron". The record is from RNAcentral. Lineage: Eukaryota; Metazoa; Chordata; Mammalia; Primates; Hominidae.
GACGCUGGCCCCGGAGUUGGGCCGUAGCCACGAAGUGAUCCGGGCGCUGACGGCCCGUGGCAUCUGCGUGUCCCUAGGUGAGGGGCCGGCUCGGGGUGGGCCUGCUUGGGGGACGUGGGCCAGGUGCAAAGUCUGAAUCCAGGUCCCGCAGGGCACUCAGUGGCUGACCUGCGGGCGGCAGAGGAUGCUGUGUGGAGCGGAGCCACCUUCAUCACCCACCUCUUCAACGCCAUGCUGCCUUUCCACCACCGCGACCCAGGCAUCGUGGGGCUCCUGACCAGCGACCGGCUGCCCGCAGGCCGCUGCAUCUUCUAUGGGAUGAUUGCGGAUGGCACGCACACCAACCCCGCCGCCCUGCGGAUCGCCCACCGUGCCCAUCCCCAGGGUAAGCUGCGGCAGGUGGGCAGGACAGGUAGGAUGACUGGGCUAGCAGGUUCUGAGUCUCUUCUCCCCCAGGGCUGGUGCUGGUCACCGAUGCCAUCCCUGCCUUGGGCCUGGGCAACGGCCGGCACACGCUGGGACAGCAGGAAGUGGAAGUGGAUGGUCUGACGGCCUACGUGGCAGGUGAGCGCCCUGACCCACUGGGUCCCAGGUCCCAGCCCGCAUGCCAGGUGGCCCACGACCCCCCCAGAGCCUGCCCUCUCUGCUCUCAAGGCACCAAGACGCUGAGUGGCAGCAUAGCCCCAAUGGACGUCUGUGUCCGGCACUUCCUGCAGGCCACAGGUCAGUGAGCAGCACGGGUGCGGGUUUAGGUGGUCUGUGAGUGGCGGGUCCCCAGGGGCUGGACCGGGUGCCCGGACUGUAGCCCAAGCUCUGCCCACAGGAGCUCCUGGGCAUUGGGUACU